CUCUGGUCACAGCGGUGCAGGUGGUGAGGAUGGCGCAGGGAGGCAGCAGGACAGGCUCGGGGGGCAAGAAGGAGGAUCAGAGGGACUGGUCUGGAGUCCCGGGGAGACCAGCAGUCCUCGCCAUGGGGACGAAAGACAACUGAACUCCCAAAUCCACGGCACCCCAGAUGGAAACCAGGACUGGGGUCAAAGCCACGACCCUGAGCACGUUGCUUCUCACGCUGGGCCUCGGUCUCCCCGAUUGCCCACUGAAGAGACUCUACACAAACAUCUUAAAGGCCAGGCCUAUCGUUGAGAGCCUGCAGAUGCACCCCAUAUACUCUGCCCAAUUUCAAAUUCUAGGGCAGAAAUACAAAUCCCAUCAACCGUAA
This is a non-coding RNA of Oryctolagus cuniculus (rabbit), 371 nucleotides long. Lineage: Eukaryota; Metazoa; Chordata; Mammalia; Lagomorpha; Leporidae. The record is from RefSeq and is a predicted model, not a curated record.